Molecule: ribosomal RNA, 492 nt
Filed under: uncultured bacterium
Lineage: Bacteria
Description: partial 16S ribosomal RNA
Rfam family: Bacterial small subunit ribosomal RNA
Source: RNAcentral
AGUGAACGCUGGCGGUAGGCCUAACACAUGCAAGUCGAACGGCAGCACAGUAAGAGCUUGCUCUUACGGGUGGCGAGUGGCGGACGGGUGAGGAAUACAUCGGAAUCUACUUUUUCGUGGGGGAUAACGUAGGGAAACUUACGCUAAUACCGCAUACGACCUACGGGUGAAAGCGGGGGAUCUUCGGACCUUGCGCGAUUGAAUGAGCCGAUGUCGGAUUAGCUAGUUGGCGGGGUAAAGGCCCACCAAGGCGACGAUCCGUAGCUGGUCUGAGAGGAUGAUCAGCCACACUGGAACUGAGACACGGUCCAGACUCCUACGGGAGGCAGCAGUGGGGAAUAUUGGACAAUGGGCGCAAGCCUGAUCCAGCCAUACCGCGUGGGUGAAGAAGGCCUUCGGGUUGUAAAGCCCUUUUGUUGGGAAAGAAAAGCGGCAGGUUAAUACCCCGCUGUUCUGACGGUACCCAAAGAAUAAGCACCGGCUAACUUCGUG